Molecule: ribosomal RNA, 253 nt
Filed under: uncultured bacterium
Lineage: Bacteria
Description: partial 16S ribosomal RNA
Rfam family: Bacterial small subunit ribosomal RNA
Source: RNAcentral
UACGGAGGGUGCUAGCGUUGUUCGGAAUUACUGGGCGUAAAGCGCACGUAGGCGGCUUUGUAAGUUAGAGGUGAAAGCCCGGAGCUCAACUCCGGAACUGCCUUUAAGACUGCAUCGCUUGAAUCCAGGAGAGGUGAGUGGAAUUCCGAGUGUAGAGGUGAAAUUCGUAGAUAUUCGGAAGAACACCAGUGGCGAAGGCGGCUCACUGGACUGGUAUUGACGCUGAGGUGCGAAAGCGUGGGGAGCAAACAGG